This 315-nucleotide ribosomal RNA is filed under the name Triticum aestivum (bread wheat). Its description in RNAcentral is "partial small subunit ribosomal RNA". Lineage: Eukaryota; Viridiplantae; Streptophyta; Magnoliopsida; Poales; Poaceae. The record is from RNAcentral.
GGUGUUAGUGUUAUGCCUCUCUCUUUAUAUCAUAGACUUGAAUUGAAUAAGUUGAUACCUACUAAAAUAUCUUUGCAAAUGGCUGGGAAAUCAACUGCUAUACCUGUCGGUAUAUGUGAGGAUGUGCCUGUUGUGGUUGCAAAUGUCACUAUCUUAACAGACUUUGUUAUUCUUGAUAUUCCCGAGUAUGAUAGUAUGUCUAUUAUCCUUGGUAGACCUUUUCUUAAUACUGCAGGGGCUGUUAUUGAUUGCAACAAAGGCAAUGUCACUUUUCAUGUUAAUGGUAAUGAGCAUACGGUACACUUUUCGAGGAAA